UACGUAGGGGGCAAGCGUUGUCCGGAUUUAUUGGGCGUAAAGCGCGUGUAGGCGGCCACGCAGGUCCGCUGUGAAAACUCGAGGCUCAACCUCGAGAUGUCGGUGGAAACCGCGUGGCUAGAGUCCGGAAGAGGAGAGUGGAAUUCCCGGUGUAGCGGUGAAAUGCGCAGAUAUCGGGAAGAACACCCAUGGCGAAGGCAGCUCUCUGGGACGGUACUGACGCUGAGGCGCGAAAGCUAGGGGAGCAAACGGG
This 253-nucleotide ribosomal RNA is filed under the name uncultured bacterium. RNAcentral describes it as "partial 16S ribosomal RNA". It matches the Rfam family "Bacterial small subunit ribosomal RNA", at positions 524 to 776 of the family's 1533-position model. The record is from RNAcentral.